RNAcentral lists this ribosomal RNA (35 nucleotides) under Mycoplasmopsis pulmonis. RNAcentral describes it as "Mycoplasma pulmonis partial 23S ribosomal RNA". The record is from RNAcentral. Lineage: Bacteria; Bacillati; Mycoplasmatota; Mycoplasmoidales; Metamycoplasmataceae.
UUUAAAUAAAGAAGAGUUUGUAGUGGAUGCCUUGG